RNAcentral lists this transfer RNA (80 nucleotides) under Ureaplasma parvum serovar 3 str. ATCC 27815. Its description in RNAcentral is "tRNA-Met". It matches the Rfam family "tRNA". From Rfam's summary of the family: Transfer RNA (tRNA) molecules are approximately 80 nucleotides in length. Their secondary structure includes four short double-helical elements and three loops (D, anti-codon, and T loops). Lineage: Bacteria; Bacillati; Mycoplasmatota; Mycoplasmoidales; Mycoplasmoidaceae. The record is from RNAcentral. RNAcentral also lists the same sequence under 12 other names.
UGCUUCUAUAGCUCAAUUUGGUUAGAGCCCCCGACUCAUAAUCGGUUGGUUACAGGUUCAAGUCCUGUUAGAAGCACCAA